RNAcentral lists this ribosomal RNA (349 nucleotides) under Mucoromycotina sp. WR148.B-B. RNAcentral's name for it is "SSU rRNA". It matches the Rfam family "Eukaryotic small subunit ribosomal RNA", at positions 594 to 945 of the family's 1831-position model. Lineage: Eukaryota; Fungi; Mucoromycota; Endogonomycetes; Endogonales; Densosporaceae. The record is from RNAcentral.
AUAGCGUAUAUUAAAGUUGUUGCAGUUAAAAAGCUCGUAGUCGAAUUUUAGCCCUGGCUGGGUGGUCCUCCUUUUGGUAGGUACUGCUUCGGCUGGGGUUCACCUUCUGGUGAGCCAGUGUGCCCCUUACCGGGGGUGCGCUUGGGGAACCAGGACUUUUACUUUGAAAAAAUUAGAGUGUUUAAAGCAGGCAUUUGCUUGAAUACAUUAGCAUGGAAUAAUAGAAUAGGACUUUGGUUCUAUUUUGUUGGUUUCUAGGACCGAAGUAAUGAUUAAUAGGGAUAGUUGGGGGCAUUAGUAUUUAAUUGUCAGAGGUGAAAUUCUUGGAUUUAUGAAAGACUAACUUCUG